UGGAAAGCACACCAUUAGGGAGACAUGUGCAUUCAUUCCAGGACAACAUUUUUCUGGUUUCAGGAAUGGAAUACGGCUUUUAGACAAGACAUUCUCAUUGACGUCACUGCACCAACCACAGGACCAAGGAAUACAGCAAUGCAUUGAUGUAGUGCAUAUAUUUGUGCUGCUCCUAGGCUUUGGAACAACCUCCCCUUAAUGCAACGGUAAACAAUCAAGAGAUGGUGUCAAAGUAACCUGCAAGAGGAGUUUCUAUAGCCGAAGAGUCUGAGGAGGAGUCAUUGAGCUGGGCUCGUCUUGAGCCCCAGAUCUUGCAAGAAAGAAGGCAAGACCAACGUAUUAUGCUUGCUACUUGUCCAAGUUCAGCCGCGUUGAGCCGUCUCUAGAGUUUACGCUGGCCCAACUUGAACUGGCCACCUGGCUUGAGGCCAAACAUUCUAGACAGCGUUUCGGAACUAUUUAUUUGAUCUAGAGAGAAUGUGAGUGGGUAAAGACGUGACGCUAUUAAUAGUUACUGUAUCAAUUAAGUGGUGAAUGACCCGUGGUGAGAAAUAACUUAAUUUCAGUGUACCGUCGAAGUUAGGACUCCAGAUUCCUGUUUGUCUAGUCCGAAGACGUAUGUGCACAGACGAGACCUGGUUUACGUUUCAAAUGGGAAGGACCUCUCGCUGUCAGGUAAACAAGACCCUGGCAGUGUGCAUGAAAAAGGCUGUCACCCGGCAGCCUUUCUUGCUAUUCCUUGGCAGCAAGACUGAUGUACAGCAACUGUUUCUUCAAGUUGAAGAUUUCAAACAUCCGGCAUUGUAAAUGUGUGUGUUCAACUUGGCAUAUCCUGCACCAGUGCGCAACUGGUACUUGUACCUUCUGACACAGAUCUUUGGACUAGAUAUGCAGGGUUGUCAAAUGUCACCUAGAGUCAGAGAACUUGCUCCAGCAGUGCAGGCUACUUCUUAGAAUCUGGAGCACUUGUAAUCAUAAAUCAUUCACACUUUCAUCUACCAUCAUUUGAAAAAACAGAACCCUUAACUCUUCAUUGUUACCCAACUAAUGCUGUAAAAAUUUAUCUGAUGGGACCCUCCACAAAUUGCCUUAUAUUUCACUGGUCAUGUGUUGUUAUUCAAAAUGACUGUCAAAUCUAUCUGAUGAGAUGUUGUUGCGAUGGACAUAUCGUACUAAUCAUGUGAGUGGGGGUGGUUAAAACUUGUUAAUUACUGUAACUUCAUUGUUCAAUUUCAUUCAUGGUUGAAAAAUAUAUCUGAUCGGAUACUUGAUUAUUAGAAUUUAGUGUUGUUGUAGGCCUAUAUCAUCAUUUUAAUAUGUGAUUAUCAUUAUUUUCUAAUGCACAUCUGAUCUGAACUGAAAUAAGUACUAAAAGUUUAUACUUGUUACAGUUGUUUUUCCUUUGGACAAAAAUAUUGUGUUGUUAGAGUUGAUAUAAAUGCACAUGUCUGUGUUUGAACAUGCCUUACCCACAAAAAACACUCUGUAUUUCUCUGAAAUUCAAAGAUAAAAGAGCAGGUUUAUAUCAGAAAAAUGUGUCAUAUUUGCCCCUUCUGUACUGCAGGAGUGCAACAGCGACAAGGUGUUUUGUGUGGUGCACUGCACGUGCUGGGUGGAGGCUAAAGUAACACUAUGAGUGCCGUUUACCAGCCUAUACAAGGAGUUGUUUUAGCACUCAAAGUGUACCUUUUUGGAUGUUUUAUGUGUAUUCCUUAGCACUAAUAGAGCAAAAGAGCAAAACACUUAAAGUGUUUUUCCAAGCACCCGGACUGGUGCUAACCCAUUACACUUAAACAAGUGCUAAUUUAGCACAAAUUGUGCAGUCCCUAUGCGAGCACUAACAAGCAUUAUCGCCAUAUCGCCAGGUGCUAGAAAUAGCACUUCAUUUUUAGACUGUACACUGACAUCCAUAAUGAUGGCUCUACAUUGGCCCAUGCACUUACAAGUCAGGUCAUCUAUUUCCAACCUUUGUGUCAUUAUGACUUCAAGUGUGCAAGAAUUUGCUAAGGAAAAUCCGCCUUCUUUGGAGGCUGCAAAAGACAAAUUUAUCAAAACAAAAAUGAAAAUUGAAAACAUAAGAGAUCCAGAAGAGUAGAUGAGGCCAUGGAGCAUUCUUUAUAAUGAUCACUUUAUGGUCGAGAAUGCCAACCGGACAGGUGCAUUAUAACUGACAGGCAAAUUGAUCUCCAGAGCAUUAAAAAGAUCCGUGACAAUUUAUGAGGCACGGCAAUCAAAUUGAAUGGAACCCUUUACCAACGAAUUCUCAACCAAGCGUUAUUUUUGAAAUGGCUCUCGACUUCGCCAGAGCUCAUUCUUACAUUUUGACCAGUGCCAGAAUCAACCCACUGAUUACUUUAUGGUCUGAAUAUUGAGGAAAACGGACAGGAUAGGCGGUCUUAUACGAUAUGACCUCAACAAUGAACAAAUUUGCUGAUCACUGUAUUUUAAUUUCGUGAGUGGCACAUAAUAUCCUGUUAAAUCCUCCCCCUAUGUAUACCUUUUCAGGAUAAUAACUACACUGCGCGACUCUCCGCUCUGAUUGUGUUUGGCAAACUAAGUACCAAUGGGGGAGACAUUUCUAGACAUGAAAAAGGGUAGAGUACACAAUCGCUUAAUCAUCCUUUUUGCUUUUGGAAAAUGAAAAGCCAUGAAAUAGUGAGAAUCCUGACAGAGAGAACUUACAGUCAUUUCAUCGACUAUAAUUUCUGGGCAAACCAUGCGUGCACACAUGCAAUCGAGUCGUGGCGUUGCCAUGGAGUUGUUUAUAUAAUUCCUCCAAUAAUUAUAAAAUUCAUGAAAUCCAAGAAAUGACAUGCAACGAACCAGUUUCCAAGCAUGGAACGACAUGGUACAAGAGAAGUAUCAUGUCGAUAUAAAGAAAAGAAUAAACAUGCAUUUUGUUGUUUUUUAUGUGAGCUGGAAGUACACUUUCAGUCCGAUAGUUUAUUUGAUUUGGUUAUAAGGAAAGUUUAAUUCACUUCUCCAGGCAUAUUCUCCUUGGUAGCCUUCUGCCGCGAUGAACGACCUUUUUCUAGAAUGACGCCACCUUAUGAAGCUUUAGAGAGUAUAAUGGCAAGAGCUUAAUUACGGUAAAUAACGCAAUAUAACCUAAGCUAGCCACAAUAAGAGAGAUUUGAAUCAGACAGUAAUUCAAGCUCAUAGUGAAGCGUGGAGAGAACAUCCGCUUAAUGGGGUUAUAAUUGGUGGAUCUAUCCUUGGACGUCGAGGCAUCCGCCUCUCAUGUAUAGAGCUGUAUUUUGAGAAUAAAGGGGUGUUAUUGGCCAAAAACUGAAAAAAAGGCUUAAAAUGCUUUUGGGGGCAAAAAAAUUAUACUCUUUAAGAGAACCCAGGAACACAUCAAUUUUACCUAAUUUGAGUGUGUGAAUCAAACUAGAACUGUGACCAAGCUGUGUUUUUAAACAUUUAUGUGGUAUAUGACUAAAAACAUCUUUUAAAGUGGUUUGAAAUGGUAGUUUUGGCACUAAAAUGUAGCUUCAGUUAAAGUUUGGUAGGAUACAUUUCAUCAAAUUCGGGCUUGCUAUUACCUGUUUACCCAUACAGACAAAAAAGCAAAACGUGGGGUCAAAAACGGGUUUAACCACAAAAAGUACUGAAUAUAAAUCCAGUGCUGAUGAACUAUUCACCAUGUUCCUCAGGAGAAAUAUAUACUUGGGUCUGUGCACUGAAAAUAAAAACUAUUUUUGAACCAUGCAGAAGUUUA
This is a long non-coding RNA of Acanthaster planci (crown-of-thorns starfish), 3721 nucleotides long. The record is from RefSeq and is a predicted model, not a curated record. NCBI's taxonomy places the organism in Eukaryota, Metazoa, Echinodermata, Asteroidea, Valvatida, Acanthasteridae.